AAGUACUUUCGUACUUUAUUUCGUAUUACUCAAGUAUUAUUACUUGCUUGAAUAAUACUUUCGUACCUUCGUAAGUUGGUAGGGGUUACUUACUUGAGUUAUUUGAGUACGUAAUAAUAAUAAUACUUGAGUAUUACUCAAAUAAUAGUUGACUGAAUACCGUUGAGACUUGAUUGAUGAACGGUCAACAAACAACGGGAUUUUUAAACGGCUCACCUUCGGCGGCGCGCCUUCUUCUUCUUGAUUAGAGGCGCCCCGCGGUGGCGACACAGCGGUAACCGGCGCGUCGGAAGGUUCUCGAGGUGCAGGAUCAAGAUGGGGAUCAACAGAUUCCUUGAAGUUGCCUUUUUGUCGUUGCCCGGGAGAAUCUUCCCACGGCUACUGCAUAUUUAUAAUUCUACUUUCAAAAUCCCCGUUCGUCGUAUGCGACGCUCUCCGGUGCGUGACGAGCGCACGGCCUUUCGUGGCGUGGCGAUGCUACGUCAAGUGGUGGCGAUGUAGCUGGCGUUUGAUCUAACGAACAACCUUCAAAGCGGGGUGGGUAACUGGGUAUGCCGCAGAUGGAUCUGGAGUUAGGCUUUAAAAAAAUGGUUUUUUGCUGACUGUUGUACGGAAAGUAUGUACGAAAGUACUUCCGUACACGUGUACGAAAUAAAGUAACAACUUACUUAUUAGCUACGUAGCUAGCUACCUUCGUACCUUCGAAGGUAGUAGAUAGAUAGCUAGCUACUAGCUAGUAGCUACCGUACGUGUAGCUAGCUCUAGACCACCGGAAAUUUAGUGAGUAUUUUAUGAGUAAUAAAUUCGUGUAUCCAAAAAGUGUAAAUAAAUGAGUAUUUGAUGAAUACCGCCAAAAAAAAAAGGUAAAUAAAUAAAUACUCAAAAAAAUUCUUCGCCUUCGGCGAGUAAAUAAAUAAAUAACAUUUUCUUAUUACUCAUUAUUUAUUCACUAUCAAAAGUUAUAACUCCUGUACCUAUCUACGUACCUUCAAAGGCACUUCAGGAAGUACGUAGGCUACGUACUACGUAGUACGAAAGUACUUUCGAAAGUACGAAAGUACUUUCGUACGUACGUAGCUAGCUAGCUACGUACGAAAGUACCUUCGUAGUACGUAGCUACGUACCUAUCUAGUAUCUACUAUCUAGUCUACACGUACUGUACAUACACGUACUCGUACACGUUGCGUGUGUGUAUCUGAUUACAAAAAGACUGAGCUCUAACCCAUCCGGGCAAAACAUGUGAUCUAAAUGCGAGCAGACCACACUACGAACAAUCCUCUCACGUAGUAAGCAACCCCACGACGGGAUUCAUGAAACCCAUGUGAGCCUCACGAGCGCACGGAGCCGGGGCGAUGUGGAAAUCGCCAGCAGUGUCGGGCUCCAUAAAAAGGAUUUGCGCUGCCGCGCCCGCGUGGAAGUUUUCAGAGUCACGUGCGGUUCUGAGCGCGUACGAGAUGGGCGCGCCAGCGAUGCGGUCCCCGAUGGCGGAUACGAGCGCGACGGAGAUGUGGCCCAUGAUGCGUCGUUUCCAAUAGCUUUUGCUCCUCGCGAUGGCGGAGAGCGUGGCCUCGGUCGCGGCAUCGGAGGCGGCGUCGCCGGCGGGGACAGUACCUCUCGCACCGUGAUCGGCGAGAUCGUUAAGGAAACUGCGGAAGCGCGGCGCCUUGAAACCGUACGUGUCGAUGGCCAUGGGCACGAGGCCGAAGUUGCGGCCCGCGGGGAUGUUGCCGUACCAGUCGAGCUUCUUCUUCUCCGCCUCGAGCGUGUACUCGCCCGGCUGGAUGUUCGCUGGUGAGCGGGUCGCAGUGGGGCGCCGACCGUUGUAUUUCGCGCGCCCGUCACCACUGAACGGGUGGGGGACGACGACGUCCCCGAGGGUCCUGGCCACCCGGCUGUCGAGUCCCGUGAUGCUGAUGUCGACGGUUUUCCAGCAUUCGUGGCGUCCACCUCGCACGGCGUCUGGGGGGAGGAGGCCACGGAUGCCUUUCGUCUCGACGCCGAGUCCGACGUCUUUGCACAGCUGUGCGACGGCUCGCACCACGCGGUCGUGGGUUUGGACCCUGUUGCCACCGGCGUUGCCUUCCUUGUGGUUGAGGAUGUGGUGGACGGCGUUGUGUGUGAACGUCUCGUUGCCGCACUCGGCUUGGUGGCAUGCGAGUUUCCGGUCGAUGAGGAUCUUGAUGGCGGCGGGGAUGAGGCCGAGCUCGAGGCGAACUUGGUUUCGCACGUGAGCGGUGGAGAGCUCCACGGCCUUCGAGAAGGGGAUCACCGUGUGCCAGGCGGUCGCGCCUUCGCCCCGGAGCGAGUCCAUGGAUACCGCGACCUGGGCGGCGAACUCGCGGGCGUGUGGGUUCGCGGAGUGGUCGUCGCUGAGCUCCACGGCGGAGGCCUUCACGCUCUCGAACUUGCGCGCGUAGAACAUCUGGGAGAGGAGGUGCUGGAGGCCCUUCGCGGCGCACGGUGCGGCGGCGGAGUCGGCAAACUCGGGGAGGAUGUUUCGUUCGCGCCGACUGUCUCCUUCAGCGCCGCGGGCUCGAACACGGUCCCAGACGGGCUCGAUCAUGCCGUUCAUCGGGAGGGUGCCGUCCUCGGAGGGCGCGGCGAUGCCGUCGAGCGCCGGGACGCGGCUCGCGAGGUAGGACGACGUGUACUGCCAGUUCGCGGUGAGCGCGUUGUCGGCGAUCUCGCAGAUGUUGGUGAUGCCUUGGCCUCCGAAUCCGAGGGGCAUGGUGACGCGGUCACGGACGAACUUCACGUUCAUGUCCGCGUCGGAGAGGUCGACGAUCUUCAUCCACGCGUCGAGGAUGGACGCGUGUCCUCGCUUGAACGCUUCGGCGGGAGCGCGCAGUGGAUCAGGAGGAGCUUCGCAACUUGCGCGUCAACUGCACCGAGCGAUAUUAAGGCGUGUAAACGCUUCUGGUGCAUGUUGUUGCGCUCGUUGACGAAGGUGUUCUGAAACGCAGGCGAGCCGAGGGGGGACCCAAGACACUUGACGCCGUUCACCAUGGAGCCCACGGUGUGACCGGCGCGUGUGUCCCCGAAGUGGACGAAGGAGAUGUCGCCGACCAUCCCUGCGUCCGUGAAGGUGGAGCUCGAGAGCACCGGGGACGACCGACCUUGGGUCACGAUCCAUCCCUUGAUGUGGAGCCCGGCGCGCGCGCCCAGCAAGCGUUGGUUCUGCGCGGCGGCGGCGGCGGCGACCGCGGGGGGGCCCAGGUGGUAUCCGUUGUCGGCGUACCAUGCUUGAUGUACGUCUGGGUUCUCGCGCGCGGUGUCCCGCAGAACCGGGUGGAUGGCGAGGCAAAAUAGGAGCAUGCCCAGGACGUCGCCUUGCGUCGAGCCCACCUGUGAGUCGACGAAGUGCCUCGCGCCAUCAGCGCCGCGAACGGCGAUUUUCGAGGGCUUCCCGUAGACCGUGAGGAAGAAAGGGAGGAGGGAUCGUCCUUUCUCUUCGCCCAGCGCCAUGAUCCCCUCGACGAUCGCGGUCCUCCACACCUCGUUGAACGCGUUCCGUACGUCGCCCUCGAUGGCGACGUGCGUCGGGUUCAGGCGGAGGUAUUCGUCUAUGUGCGUGCGGCAUAACUGCGUCCCGCGCGGGACGCCGACCGCGAGCUGGAGCAGACGACCGUUGCCCCCCUUUUCGGUGAAGUGCGCGUCGAGAUCUUCGCGCCACGCGGACAGGAGGAUCCGCCCGACGAGGUUCCGGAAGACAGCGCAGAUCCCGAUCGGGCGAAUGCCCCCGUCCUCCUUCGCGAGCGCGACGAGGCGUGCGCGCGUGAGUAGCUCGGUGGCGGAGUCGUGGAGGUCACCCCGGGCGAGUGCGCGGAUCAGCGAGGUGAGCGCCUCGAUCGCGUCCGGGAACGCGCACAGGGCCUGGAGGGACUCGACUCGCCAGCCCAUGCAGUCUUGGGCCGCUCCCCUCGUCGCGGACUUGAGGGCCUUGAUGACGUCGGCGGGUUGGAUGUCGGCGAGGAAGGGGAGGGUUUCCUUGGCGCGCUCCCAGGCGUCCUCGUCGUUGUCCAGUCUCGCCGCCGGCGGCGCGGCGGGGUGUUUUGCUUGCAGCGCCGCGAUGGUGUCCGGUGUGCCUUGGACGACUUUCGUAUCGUCAAGAGCUUGCACCGCGCGGGAGAGCUCGCCCACGCGGGCGAGACGCCGUGCGCGGGUGAAGGUGGGGUUGAAGCCGGGGUCCGCGGGGGGGGUGGUGCCGACGCCGGCCUGUCUUGCCGGCUGAGCCUGACGCUCGCGCGCCUCGUCGACGAGGGACUCCCAUUCCCCGCCCAUGAAUCGGUUCAGGCGGCAUAUGACGUCUCGCCUGCCGGCGUCGCCGCCUCGCGGACUCUUGCCGUGUCGGACGGCCUCGAAGAGGAGCAUGUGCGACGCCUCGAGCAAGAAACACGCUGCUCGAAGCUCAUCCUCGGGCGCGUUGGCGUCAAGGGCGUUGACGGGCCACGCGCAUAAAACCUCGAAAACGUCCGCCCAUGUCGAGAGGGCGACCUUUGGCGCAUUCGCGGACUGUCCGGGGUCCCGCUCGGAGAGGAAGCUGAGGUUCCCCGCGGCGUGCUCGCGUACCCACCAUUCCUUCGCCUGGCGCAAGUCGUCGCCGCCCGUGGGCAGACCAAGCGUCACCGCGCGGGCCCGCGCCGGUGCUUCGCGGUUAACUGGGGGGAGAUGCGCACGAGGGGGGACGCCACGGCGCGUGCCCCCGCCACGGCCUGGGCCGGACGCCGUUGUCUCCGCCGUGGAUCGGGGCGGCGGGCGGAUCGUGGACGCGACCCUGUCGAAGAGCGCCGCGACGUCCGGCGCGUCCGUACCGCGCGGGUCUGCGAGCGGGAGGCGCCUGUACUCUCCGUUGUUCGCGUUCCGCCUCGCACUCCUCUGCGCAUUUGUACGCGCGCGAGGGCUUCCUAGCUCGGCACCGCUGUCAUCGACGGGGACGACCACCGGCGAGCCGAAGGCGUUGUCAUCCUCCUCCGCUCGGGGUCGAUCCACGGCGUCCGCGCGGGUACUGACGGCGGCGAGGGCGUCGCUGCGAGGUAGCGCAUCGGUGGUGCCUUGCGCGGAUCGCGCUGGAGGCAGCCGCAGCAGCUCCGGCCGCGGCGACUCCGGCAGCGGCGACUCCGGCCGCGGCGACCCCUGCCGCGGCGACUCAGGCCGCGACGACUCAGGCCUCGGUGGCGGCGGCGGGCCCUCGAUCAUCGGAAAAGGCGGCGGCGGCGGCACCUCGGUCAUCGGCAACAGCGGCACCCCGGCCAUCGGCAGCAGCGGCACCUGGACCGUCGGCGGCGACGGCGCCUCGACCCUCGGCGGAGGCAACGCCCCGAUCGUCGACGGCGGCGGUGCCUCGACCAUCUGACCCGGGGGGUGCCUCGGCGGUGGUGGAGGAGGACCGGUCCUUACCGGCGGCGGCGGAGGGAGGCAUAGUACGCGGUGGUCCGCGGCUCGUGCGUCCGUCGCGUCCGCCCGAGCGUUUGCGUCGAGGGCCGGAUUUGCAUCCGCUCGAGCGUUCGCGUCUAGGCCCGGAAUUACGUCCACACGACCCGCCAGGGAGCGCGCCGCCGAGCCAUCGCGGCCGGGGACAGCACGGGGCACGCCCCUUGUGCCCUUCGCCUUCGCUCGCGUGCCCGCGGCGGCGACGCGAUCGGCAUGGCCGGAGCCGGCGCCACGGCGGCCGCCCGCGGCUCGUGCAUCCGGCGCGUUCGCACGCGCGUCGGCGCCGAGGGCUGGGCUGGCGUCCGCUCGACCCGGCGGGGAGCGCGCCGCUGAGCCACCGCGGUCGGGGGCAGCACGGGGUGCGCCGCUCACGUCCUUCCCCUUCGUUCGCGUGCCCGCGGCGACGCGAGCGGUCGGGGCGGAGCCCGCGCCUUGGCGGCGACCCGCGGCUCGUGCGUCUGUCGCGUCCGCUCGAGCGUUCGCGUCUAGGCCCGGAAUUACGUCCACACGACCCGCCGGGGAGCGCGCCGCCGAGCCAUCGCGGCCGGGGACAGCACGGGGCACGCCCCUUGCGCCCUUCGCCUUCGCUCGCGUGCCCGCGGCUGUACGUGUAGUGCACUCGGGCUCAGCAUUCUUCAUCGAGCCUCCUGUAUUUAGUUGCCGAUCUAGAAUAAACACACUCUUUGCACCUAUGUCGUGCCCGUCCGUGCUCACAAAUCGCAGCCCCCCCACAGUCUUUACAUUGACUUCUCAUACGACCAUGUUCACAGAUGGAAGCACCGCCACACUGUUUACACGUGUAUUUCAGUCUGUUGUGAAGACAAAUAGACGCGCCACCGCAAUCUUUGCACUUACUCUUCUGCCGACCGUGUGUACAAAGAGAAGAGCCACCACAUUCUAAGCAGUAACGUUUUUCCCGUUUGUGUUUGCACAUUGCGACACCAACGCAGUCCUUGCACCGACGCCGUUCCUUACCAUGUUCACAUAUGCCAUUAUUACUGCCACAAUGUUUACAGCUAUACCGUCUCAGGCCGUGCUUGCAAAGAGAUGUUCCGCCGCACUCCUUGCACCUCCGCUUUUCUCGGCCGUGUUCACAUAUUCCCGCGCCCCCGCAUUCUUUGCACGUAUAACGCUGCCUGCCGUGUUCACAUACGUUUUUUUUCUUCUUUAUAAUACGCCUCUUCGGGUUUACAAGUUUCAAUCUCGAAUUGUCCUCCGGCACCGCUGUCUCUGCCGCCGCCGCUAGGUAUUGGAGUCGCCCUGCCCCAAUCUUCGCUUCAAAUGCCACUGGAAGAUUAUUUAUUUCUUUAUUCACCACUAGUUUUCGAAUCAUACUCGCGUACAUACAUUUAUUUCUUCAUUUCUCCAGUUCAAGAAGUUCCCGGCUAGAAUUCUUCCGGGCAUGUGGGUAUGUUGUCUUCAAAGUUUCUACCUUCGUAUCCGACUUGCACACCCGGGUAUUUGGUGUGUAACAGGCACGCAUGGGAUAUAUAUACUCACAAUCGACGGUCUAAUUUCGCUCGACCCGCAAAAGUCUUCGCCUUUCGAAAAACUAAGUAAACUUUUACUUCUCAUUAUUUAAUACUUGUAUUAAAAGUUAUUAUUAAAGCGUACGUGUACGUGUGCAACUGUGCACAGCUGCACACAGUAAAUAAAACAACUUACGAAAGUACUUUAUUUAUUGUACACGUACUUGAGUAAUACUCAAGUAAUACUCAUGCAUCAAGUAUUACUUGAAUAAUACUUGAGUUAUUUGAGUAAUACUUGAGUAUUACUCAAAUAAUACUUGACUGAAUACCGUUGAGACUGAUGAACGGUCAACAAACAACGGGAUUUUUAAACGGCUCACCUUCGGCGGCGCGCCUUCUUCUUCUGGAUUAGAGGCGCCCCGCGGUGGCGACACAGCGGUAACCGGCGCGUCGGAAGGUUCUCGAGGUGCAGGAUCAAGAUGGGGAUCAACAGAUUCCUUGAAGUUGCCUUUUUGUCGUUGCCCGGGAGAAUCUUCCCACGGCCACUGCAUAUUUAUAAUUUUACUUUCAAAAUCCCCGUUCGUCGUAUGCGACGCUCUCCGGUGCGUGACGAGCGCACGGCCUUUCGUGGCGUGGCGAUGCUACGUCAAGUGGUGGCGAUGUAGCUGGCGUUUGAUCUAACGAACACUCUUCAAAGCGGGGGUGGGUAACUGGGUAUGCCGCAGAUGGAUCUGGAGUUAGGCUUUGAAAAAAUGGUUUUUUGCUGACUGUUGUACGGAAAGUACUUCCGUACACGUGUACGUGUACUAUAGUACCUUCGUACGAAAGUAGCUAGCUCAGACUCCUAAAAGAGACAUAUACCCUAAAGUCGUUUCCGAAUGCUCUGUACAGCCAUAAUCUGAAAAGAUUCCACGAGCCGAAAUCGCGCCGUGUCAACCUCGAAGGCGAAUGCGACUUCGCCACUUUUCGGCUCGAAGCCUCGGAUUGAAGUUUUGGUCACCCUCAGCACAACCCUCAGCGACGUCCGGAAGUUCGUAGGUAUCCCUUGCCUUGACUUUCGACGCAUGUUUAGGAGAAACAUUAAUACCACUGCUGGAUGUUAUCUGGUUGUUGGUUGCCACGACAUCGAGUGGGAUUGUGCACGCGUUAUUUAUUAGUAUCUUUCGUGAUAUGACCCUAAACCCUGGAUCUCAGAAAUAAUAUGACGAGAAUACUUUACGAAGCUUUAGGUUUCGGUGUUGCAAAAAUGAAGAGCAGGUGUGAAGAGAUGAAAAGAAAUACAAGCGCCUUCCACUACGCAGUUGCGAAAAAUUCAAAAAGGACAGAGCUUGGGACCCUCUCGCGAUCGUCAUCAGUGAUAUAUUCUUAAGCGGGCUUCGCAAAAUUCUUCUUCGUCUCCGGGCCGAAUAACAACCCACAUAAUUGAAGACGAGCGUUGAGCUGGGGUCUUGGAUUAUCUAUUACGUCACUGCGCUGUGUUAGUUCGUCGCCUACCGCUUUCAUAAAUUCGCGGGUCGUUUCCUGGAGGUCACCCACACGUACAUCUUCAGCAAAUGCAGAGACAGCGGCAAAGGAAGAAGCGGAUAUGGCACGUGCAGUGGUUGCGUUGAAGUGAGAGUGGCAAAGCUCCCCAUCCCCGCACGAUGUCCUGUGCCCUUUCA
RNAcentral lists this long non-coding RNA (8560 nucleotides) under Micromonas pusilla. RNAcentral describes it as "long non-coding RNA (MPUS_LNC000204)". Lineage: Eukaryota; Viridiplantae; Chlorophyta; Mamiellophyceae; Mamiellales; Mamiellaceae. The record is from RNAcentral.